This 355-nucleotide non-coding RNA is filed under the name Pongo abelii (Sumatran orangutan). The record is from RNAcentral. Lineage: Eukaryota; Metazoa; Chordata; Mammalia; Primates; Hominidae.
UUUUUUCCCUGAGACAGAGCCUCGCUCUGUUGCCCAGGCUGUAGUGCAGUAGCCACCGCGCCCGGCCGAUUUUUCAUCUUUUGAUACAAACAGAAUCAUGCCAAAUGUCCUGAUCAGAUGUUUAUUUCAGUUUUAGGGUCUCUGACUGCCUUUUUAGGACUACAAGCAACACUCUUGCCAGUUCCUGGAACAGUGCUUGGUGGAGUAUCAGCUGAUGUAGCAAGAUUUUUCUGGAUCAGCUUUCUAGCAUUCUGUGACAUGACAUCAGGCUGAGUCUUCUGGCCAGUGUUACUCCGGACUGCUACAGAGAAAGAGUUGGUGGCUCAAUUUACAUAUAAACAGAACACAGAGGGGG